Molecule: long non-coding RNA, 249 nt
Organism: Oncorhynchus nerka (sockeye salmon)
Lineage: Eukaryota; Metazoa; Chordata; Actinopteri; Salmoniformes; Salmonidae
Exons: 3
Source: RefSeq, a predicted model, not a curated record
UGUUCCAGGUGGUUCUCUGCGGGGUUUAACACUGUGUGUUCCAGGUGGUUCUCUGCGGGGGGUUUAACACUGUGUGUUCCAGGUGGUUCUCUGCGGGGGGUUUAACACUGUGUGUUCCAGGUGGUUCUCUGCGGGGUUUAACACUGUGUGUUCCAGGUGGUUCUCUGCGGGGGGUUUAACACUGUGUGUUCCAGGUGGUUCUCUGCGGGGGGUUUAACACUGUGUGUUCCAGGUGGUUCUCUGCGGGGG